CUUCCAUCCAGAUCUUUGCAUGUUCUGUCCAGCAAGUUCUCUCUCCAUGAAGACCAUACCACCUAAAGUGACCCCAUCUCAGUCUGUCUGUUGGUGAGUUUGUAUUUACUAUUUAGCACUUACCAUAUUUGAGGUUGUUUAUUUUUUUCUUAACUUGUUACCUCUGUGCUUCUCCCAAGCUCCAUGAGUGGAGACAUAGGCUCAUAAGCUAUGUUCUCUACCUAGUAUAGUGCCUGGACCUUAGUGGGCACUUCAUCAAUAAAUGAAUAAUAAAUAAACAAUUCACUAAGCCAUGAAAAACAAACAUCUUUUAAAAAAC
Molecule: long non-coding RNA, 319 nt
Filed under: Homo sapiens (human)
Lineage: Eukaryota; Metazoa; Chordata; Mammalia; Primates; Hominidae
Description: long non-coding RNA NONHSAT219375.1
Source: RNAcentral